UACGGAGGGAGCUAGCGUUGUUCGGAAUUACUGGGCGUAAAGCGCGCGUAGGCGGCUUUGUAAGUUAGAGGUGAAAGCCCGGGGCUCAACCCCGGAACAGCCUUUAAGACUGCAUCGCUAGAAUCCGGGAGAGGUGAGUGGAAUUCCGAGUGUAGAGGUGAAAUUCGUAGAUAUUCGGAAGAACACCAGUGGCGAAGGCGGCUCACUGGACCGGCAUUGACGCUGAGGUGCGAAAGCGUGGGGGGCAAACAGG
Molecule: ribosomal RNA, 253 nt
Filed under: uncultured bacterium
Lineage: Bacteria
Description: partial 16S ribosomal RNA
Rfam family: Bacterial small subunit ribosomal RNA
Source: RNAcentral